AGGGCAGCUACCUGGUGACAGGAUGCGAAUCUCGAAAGCCGGUCUCAGUUCGGAUUGGAGGCUGAAACUCGCCUCCAUGAAGUUGGAUUCGCUAGUAAUCGCGCAUCAGCCAUGGCGCGGUGAAUACGUUCCCGGGCCUUGUACACACCGCCCGUCAAGCCAUGGGAGUUGGGGGUGCCUGAAGUACGUGACCGCAAGGAGCGUCCUAGGGCAAAACCGAUGACUGGGGCUAAGUCGUAACAAGGUACC
This 249-nucleotide ribosomal RNA is filed under the name uncultured bacterium. RNAcentral's name for it is "partial 16S ribosomal RNA". It matches the Rfam family "Bacterial small subunit ribosomal RNA", at positions 1243 to 1500 of the family's 1533-position model. The record is from RNAcentral.